AAGAGAGGGAGAGGGAGAGGGAUGUUAAGUGACAGAGAGCGCAAUAGGGUGAAUGAGGCAAUUGGGGAGAAGAAGAGAGAGACAGAAAAAGAUAGAGGAAGCAAGGGAGAGAGAGAACGAAUAGACAGUAUUUAAAGGGUUAUAGUUGGAAGGGAGAAGGACGUUGCGCACAAAUAGUCAUAAAUAAAGAGAAUAUAUAGUAGCGAUAUAAACAAGUCAGAAAAACAGUAUUAUAGUCUACUUCGUGUUCAUUUUUAUUUUUUAUUUUCAAAAGUUUUGCUGUUAAUAUUGAAAUAAAGAAAGAAAGUUUUACUAUUUUUCAAUUAGGAUUUUUGGGGAAUAUAUGGGUUAUUAAAUUUGUUAUUCUAAUUAUAACCUUGAAAUUAUUCGAUAUUAGACAUUAUACAGAUAUAAACACGUAACACCGCCUUGAAAUGCGCGCGCGUAUGUGUGUGUGUGUGUGUGUGUGUGUGUGUGUGUGUGUGUAAGAGAGAGAGAAAUAGAGAGAGGGAGAGAAAGAUAAAGAGAGAGAUAGAGAAAAAGAGAGAGGAAGAGAGAGAGAGAAAGGACAUUGUAUAAAUAGCAAAAUUUUAUAGUGACUAUAAAUUCUUCGAGAUAAGAAUAAUAUCGUAAUAGAAUAUACUUGCGGUGUAUCUGAAGCAGAGUCGAAAUCUUCUCCAGACAGGUUUCUCUUCUUUUAAGUAUAAAUUAAGUAAGAGAAGAGAGAGAGAGAGAGAGAGAGAGAGAGAGAGAGAGAGAGAGAGAGAGAGACAGAGAGAGAGAGAGAGAGAGAGAGAGAGAGAGAGAGAAACUUAUGCAAAACUCAACAAAAUGGAAUUAAAGCUGGAAAAGUUCUACGCAGCCCAACGACGAAAGGAGAUGUUUGCGAUGCACCUGAUAUUCAAAGGACGAGAUCCGACGGCUAAGGAUAGGAUCGAUAAUUAUAAACAGUAAAAUAGGAAAGCCAACGCGCGUUACUUUUUUCAGAAGUAUUGAUCCAUUUUGUAGAGAAUAUAUUUGUUCCAUCGUUGUAACUGAUGGAGAUUGUGAAGCAAUAAUAAGUUGGGUCAUUAAUAUCUAAUAAAUGUGAACUUGAAAAUUUCGUUAUUUCUAUUUUUUUUUUUUUUUGAAUUCUCAUGAUAUUGUUCUAAUAAUAUUAAUUUAUAUGAUAAUUUUCAAAGCUAAUUCAAAAAGGUUACGAUCUUUUAUCAAUCAAGCACAUGGAGCUUUUCGAAUAUGUCGUGUGCUUUCUAAUGUAUGUAUGUUGCUGAUGGUAAGUUCAUUGUAUGCAUGUAUAUGCGUUCAUAUGUGUGAAUGUUAACGUGCACAAGUUUCUUACAGCUAUGCUCUGUACACUAAUACUAGCACGCUUUACGAUCAAUAGAGGAACGUCACUCUCGGCCGUUUUCGACAUGUUCCGUUGGGUUCCCCUACUAUAUUCGUCCUCCAAGACGACGACCAACCAUUAAUGACCACGCCUUGCUUGCGUGCUUUCAAGAUAAAACUGGUUCUUUAAGGCGAAUACGUGCCUAACAUUUCUUAAAGGUUCUCUUGGUUACGUUUAUGUUGAAACGACACACCCCCGAUUAAUGUCUGUAUGUGUAUGCGUAUGUAUGUUGUGUAUGUUGUGUAUGUAUGUACGUAGUUAGAUGCAUACAUAGAUGUAUAUAUAAAUGCUGCAGCUACGAUCGAUUA
This is a long non-coding RNA of Vespa mandarinia (Asian giant hornet), 1695 nucleotides long. RefSeq lists it as uncharacterized. NCBI's taxonomy places the organism in Eukaryota, Metazoa, Arthropoda, Insecta, Hymenoptera, Vespidae. The record is from RefSeq and is a predicted model, not a curated record.